AAAAAUUAUAAGAUUCCUUUUAAUCCGCUAAAUUAAAAAGGCUGUAGUGCAACCCUAUAGAAUUUUUG
This 68-nucleotide transfer RNA is filed under the name Scotoplanes sp. TT-2017. Its description in RNAcentral is "tRNA-Ser". The record is from RNAcentral. RNAcentral also lists the same sequence under 2 other names. Lineage: Eukaryota; Metazoa; Echinodermata; Holothuroidea; Elasipodida; Elpidiidae.